AUCCUGGCUCGGGACGAACGCUGGCGGCGUGCCUAAUACAUGCAAGUAGAACGCUGAAGGAAGGAGCUUGCUCUUUCCGGAUGAGUUGCGAACGGGUGAGUAACGCGUAGGUAACCUGCCUGGUAGCGGGGGAUAACUAUUGGAAACGAUAGCUAAUACCGCAUAAGAGUAGAUAUCGCAUGAUAGCUGCUUAAAAGGUGCAAUUGCACCACUACCAGAUGGACCUGCGUUGUAUUAG
RNAcentral lists this ribosomal RNA (238 nucleotides) under uncultured bacterium. RNAcentral describes it as "partial 16S ribosomal RNA". It matches the Rfam family "Bacterial small subunit ribosomal RNA", at positions 16 to 244 of the family's 1533-position model. The record is from RNAcentral.